ACACUCCUGCGGGAGGCAGCAGUGGGGAAUAUUGGACAAUGGGCGAAAGCCUGAUCCAGCAAUGCCGCGUGAGUGAUGAAGGCCUUAGGGUUGUAAAGCUCUUUUACCCGGGAUGAUAAUGACAGUACCGGGAGAAUAAGCCCCGGCUAACUCCGUGCCAGCAGCCGCGGUAAUACGGAGGGGGCUAGCGUUGUUCGGAAUUACUGGGCGUAAAGCGCGCGUAGGCGGCUUUGUAAGUUAGAGGUGAAAGCCCGGAGCUCAACUUCGGAAUUGCCUUUAAGACUGCAUCGCUAGAAUCGUGGAGAGGUGAGUGGAAUUCCGAGUGUAGAGGUGAAAUUCGUAGAUAUUCGGAAGAACACCAGUGGCGAAGGCGACUCACUGGACACGUAUUGACGCUGAGGUGCGAAAGCGUGGGGAGCAAACAGGAUUAGAAACCCCAGUAGUCC
This 446-nucleotide ribosomal RNA is filed under the name uncultured organism. RNAcentral's name for it is "partial 16S ribosomal RNA". It matches the Rfam family "Bacterial small subunit ribosomal RNA", at positions 333 to 796 of the family's 1533-position model. The record is from RNAcentral.